Molecule: ribosomal RNA, 552 nt
Filed under: Bacillus sp. (in: firmicutes)
Lineage: Bacteria; Bacillati; Bacillota; Bacilli; Caryophanales; Bacillaceae
Description: bacterial SSU rRNA
Rfam family: Bacterial small subunit ribosomal RNA
Source: RNAcentral
ACAUGCAAGUCGAGCGGACAGAUGGGAGCUUGCUCCCUGAUGUUAGCGGCGGACGGGUGAGUAACACGUGGGUAACCUGCCUGUAAGACUGGGAUAACUCCGGGAAACCGGGGCUAAUACCGGAUGCUUGAUUGAACCGCAUGGUUCAAUUAUAAAAGGUGGCUUUUAGCUACCACUUACAGAUGGACCCGCGGCGCAUUAGCUAGUUGGUGAGGUAACGGCUCACCAAGGCAACAAUGCGUAGCCAACCUGAGAGGGUGAUCGGCCACACUGGGACUGAAACACGGCCCAAACUCCUACGGGAGGCAGCAGUAGGGAAUCUUCCGCAAUGGACAAAAGUCUGACGGACCAACGCCCCGGGAGUGAUGAAGGUUUUCGGAUCGUAAAACUCUGUUGUUAGGGAAAAACAAGUACCGUUCGAAUAGGGCGGUACCUUGACGGUACCUAACCAAAAAGCCACGGCUAACUACGUGCCACCAGCCGCGGUAAUACGUAGGUGGCAAGCGUUGUCCGGAAUUAUGGGGCGUAAAGCGCGCGCAGGCGGUUUCUUAA